This 253-nucleotide ribosomal RNA is filed under the name uncultured bacterium. RNAcentral describes it as "partial 16S ribosomal RNA". It matches the Rfam family "Bacterial small subunit ribosomal RNA", at positions 524 to 776 of the family's 1533-position model. The record is from RNAcentral.
UACGGAGGGUGCGAGCGUUAAUCGGAAUUACUGGGCGUAAAGAGUGCGUAGGUGGUUAAUUAAGUUAUCUGUGAAAUCCCUGGGCUCAACCUGGGCAGGUCAGAUAAUACUGGUUAACUCGAGUAUGGGAGAGGGUAGUGGAAUUUCCGGUGUAGCGGUGAAAUGCGUAGAGAUCGGAAGGAACACCAGUGGCGAAGGCGGCUACCUGGCCUAAUACUGACACUGAGGCACGAAAGCGUGGGGAGCAAACAGG